ACCUGUUCUGACAUGCUCUGGCAGCAGAGGAGAGUAUCAGGACCCUUUGGAGACUCAGAGGGACCUGAAGGCUGGUAUUCCCCUCAUUUCAGAGUAAGGACCUUAGAGCAUAGAUCACGUCACUUUACCAAACUGCUGUAUCACCUACACUGUUUUGAUUGCACCUCUUCAGACUGCCAUAGCUUAGAACAUGAACGUUACAUCAAUAAACCAUCAGCUACACCCUUGAUCUGUGAUCCUCAUCUCUUCAGCUAAAGGAGAAAACAAACACACUCAUGAAACAGAAACAUGACCAAGACCUGAUUGCCGGACUUCUCGGUGUGUGUGUGGCCUAGUUGUUGAGUGUCACAGUUCCCUUGCAUUGCUGAAGGAGGGAGCCGCCGAGCUGAACUGUGAAUCUACGAUGUAGGAGGAGGGGCAAUGCUUACAGGAGGAGGAGCCUGCACAUGGAAGCAGGAGGUAGAACAGCUCAUCCGGAAACAGCUAGCACAGCUGGAGUGGAGAGUGGUGACGCUGUUGCUUUCGGGGGCUGGGUGUGGAGGCUGCCUGUCUUGCACGCACCUCAAUGCCACGGGAAAAAGUCAGAGCCCAGAAUCGUCAGAGACCAUUUUCACUGCAAGCCUACCAAGCAGGAAGGCUGAGGACUUCAACAAGAAGAAAUCAAUCAUUAUGGGGGGCUAAUUUUGAUUCUUUUUAAAAAUCUAUUUAGAGACAUGUGGUAAGUUAAGAAAGCAGGAAACCAAAGAACCUGACAUUUUUUGGAACCACAAAUAAAAGCUCCUUUAAAAAGUUAACACGGCAAAGAUGAAUGUGGAUUCUAACACGUCAACACAGCUGUUUCGUGAUUUGGCUCUGCUGGAAGUUGUUAUACUAGAUCAGAGCCAAAAUGGAAACUUAGUUUGAUCUACAGCUCCCACUUUAAGAGCCCUAAAAGGAGACACUGUGUCCUCUGAGCAGACUAGGGCUCAUUUCAUUCAUGUAAUAUAAGACAUGAGACUGAAGAUUAGCUAGAAGACAAAUUUAGCAAGAAUGACCACACCAAAGACCACUUUUCAAAUGCCACCUUUGAAUAUAAUUAAGUUGUAAAAUGUA
Molecule: long non-coding RNA, 1092 nt
Filed under: Fukomys damarensis (Damara mole-rat)
Lineage: Eukaryota; Metazoa; Chordata; Mammalia; Rodentia; Bathyergidae
Description: lncRNA (ENSFDAG00000025979.1)
Source: RNAcentral